RNAcentral lists this transfer RNA (73 nucleotides) under Bos taurus (domestic cattle). It matches the Rfam family "tRNA". Rfam says of the family: Transfer RNA (tRNA) molecules are approximately 80 nucleotides in length. Lineage: Eukaryota; Metazoa; Chordata; Mammalia; Artiodactyla; Bovidae. The record is from Rfam by way of RNAcentral. RNAcentral also lists the same sequence under 2 other names.
UCCCUGGUAGUCCAGUGGUUAAGACUUUGCACUUGGGAUACAGUGGGUGCAGGUUUGAUCCCUGGUCAGGGAA